AAUGACACCAGAACUGUAAGAGAAACUUUUAAAAUCUGUCUUAGUUAUCUUUUUCCAUUUCAUUUCUUUAGUAGCCACCACCCAGAGAUCCCAGGAGAUCAACAACGUCAGCAGUGUGUAAUAUUUUAUUCAUAUCGAUUCGGGACGCUGUCCCUGUUGCUAAAUUCUUUCCCCAUCCCACCUCCACAGAUCAAACGCGUGCAGCAGCCCAGUGUUGCCAGAUUGGGCGGGUGACCGCCCAAUUGGGCUACUUGGGAUGAGCGUCGGCUGGGGAAAAUUGGCCAUUUGGCGUUUUUUUAAGCCGUUUUGGGCCCAUAGAAGUCAAUGUAAUUUGUUGAAUUUGUGCGGAAUUUAGCGCAUUUUGGCGGUUUUUGAGAACCUUUUGGGCGGGAUUUGGUCAGACACAUCUGGCAACAAUGGCAGCAGCCCCCACUGCAUGUACAGGUAUGGUCAGGUUUCUGUUGUCAGUGAAAUAGUGUUGAGUUUGUCUUAAUAGGCUGCAUCUUUUCUGUAGCAGUGGAGCGAUAUCUCAUGGAGCAGGUGGGGGAACUCCACCAAAAAAUGGAUUAUAUAGUAUCCCUCCUCCAAAAAGGCCAUCCAGGGGCAGCCAGAGAAGCGCCAACCAGUUUGCCCAUGCUGCCACUGCAGACAGUGGAGGAUCUGCGAGCAUUUGAUGCAAAAUGACGGGUCCUUCAGGACACAAAUGAUAAGUAAACUGUCGCUGGCUGGAGGGAGGAGUGUGAAGGAGACAGUGCGCCAAGGCCAUCCACCAAGACCUGGCCACCCAGCUUAAUAGAGCUCGAAAGUGACGUCACUUCCCCCGAUUUCAUGGGACCUCAACGGCGUUUUUAGCCGAAAAUCGUAGCAUGUAAUCCAAUGGCGGUAUUAAAAUGGCAUUUCGAUCCCCUUCGAGUUGUGCCACGAGCUCCAUAUAUGUUGUUUCUGAUAUUUUUGCUUAAUUUUUCGUAUGAACCCCCACAUUUUUUAGAAAGCGGUGUUUCUUCACAUUUUUCAUGCCGACGGUCUCGGAACAAAACAUUGAUACUUCUGCAUGAAUAAUCUUUAUCUAUCAUCUUAAACAGCAUAUUUGUAGCCCAGCGCAUAUCAUGACUGAGAUCAGAAGAUAUUUACUCGCUACCACGUUGUUAGAUGGUCAGCUUAGGUCCCGUGAAACGCGGAACUAAGGGGCGGGACUUUCGAGCUCUAUUGGUGUGGCAGGGGAGAGAAGACGGGCCUCAAGUCGACGCCCACCCACCACGCUCUUCUCAAUGUACAUGGACAUGUCGGAGGUGGAGGAAGAGGAGGUCGCCCUCGCCCUUGUCCGAGACAAAGCCGGCGCUGGAGUGGGUGUUACAAAAUAUGGAGAGGAUGGUGGGGCUGGUGGGGACACCAGCCUAUUGUCGCCUCCACCCUGGAGGAACAGGAGGACCUCAGGGAUAUUUUUUUCUUUCGUUUCACAAAUUAUGAUGACAUGGACGAUUUUCUUUUUAUUUUGAGGGACACGAGGGGGCUGUGUGUCAACGCC
Engraulis encrasicolus (European anchovy) is the source of this 1525-nucleotide long non-coding RNA. RefSeq lists it as uncharacterized. The transcript has 3 exons. The record is from RefSeq and is a predicted model, not a curated record. NCBI's taxonomy places the organism in Eukaryota, Metazoa, Chordata, Actinopteri, Clupeiformes, Engraulidae.